This 444-nucleotide ribosomal RNA is filed under the name uncultured soil bacterium. Its description in RNAcentral is "bacterial SSU rRNA". It matches the Rfam family "Bacterial small subunit ribosomal RNA", at positions 26 to 518 of the family's 1533-position model. The record is from RNAcentral.
AGAACGAACGCUGGCGGCAUGCCUAAUACAUGCAAGUCGAACGAACACUUCGGUGUUAGUGGCGCACGGGUGCGUAACGCGUGGGAAUCUGCCCUUGGGUUCGGAAUAACUUCGGGAAACUGAAGCUAAUACCGGAUGAUGACGUAAGUCCAAAGAUUUAUCGCCCAAGGAUGAGCCCGCGUAGGAUUAGCUAGUUGGUGGGGUAAAGGCCUACCAAGGCGACGAUCCUUAGCUGGUCUGAGAGGAUGAUCAGCCACACUGGGACUGAGACACGGCCCAGACUCCUACGGGAGGCAGCAGUAGGGAAUAUUGGACAAUGGGCGAAAGCCUGAUCCAGCAAUGCCGCGUGAGUGAUGAAGGCCUUAGGUUGUAAAGCUCUUUUACCCGAGAUGAUAAUGACAGUAUCGGAGAAUAAGCUCCGGCUAACUCCGUGCCAGCAGCCGC